RNAcentral lists this ribosomal RNA (400 nucleotides) under uncultured bacterium. RNAcentral's name for it is "bacterial SSU rRNA". It matches the Rfam family "Bacterial small subunit ribosomal RNA", at positions 355 to 745 of the family's 1533-position model. The record is from RNAcentral.
UCGAGGAUCUUUUGCAAUGCCCGAAAGGGUGACAAUGCGACGCCGCGUGCGCGAUGAAGGUUUUCGGAUUGUAAAGCGCUGUCAGCCGGGAGGAAGGCCGGACCCUCUAACAGAGGGGACGGAUUGACAGUACCGGCAGAGGAAGCCACGGCUAACUCCGUGCCAGCAGCCGCGGUAAUACGGAGGUGGCAAGCGUUACUCGGAUUGAUUGGGUGUAAAGGGCAUGUAGGUGGCGUGCUAAGUCGAAUGUGAAAUCCCUUGGCUCAACCAAGGAACUGCAUUCGAAACUGGCAUGCUUGAGCGACAGAGAGGAAAGUGGAAUUCUCGGUGUAACAGUGAAAUGUGUAGAUAUCGAGAGGAACACCAGUGGCGAAGGCGACUUUCUGGCUGUCUGCUGACA